AACGGCCAUAUCACGCUGAAACACAGGUACUUAUACGAUCACCGAAAUUAAGCAACGUCGAGCCUGGUCAGUACUUAAAUGGGGAUGACCGCUUGGGAAUACCAGGUGCUGUAA
This is a non-coding RNA of Acanthosepion pharaonis, 114 nucleotides long. Lineage: Eukaryota; Metazoa; Mollusca; Cephalopoda; Sepiida; Sepiidae. The record is from the annotation of a GenBank genome assembly.